UACGUAGGGGGCAAGCGUUAUCCGGAUUUACUGGGUGUAAAGGGAGCGUAGGCGGCUUAGUAAGUCAGAAGUGAAAGCCCGCAGCUCAACUGCGGGACUGCUUUUGAAACUGCCAAGCUAGAGUGUCGGAGAGGUAAGUGGAAUUCCUAGUGUAGCGGUGAAAUGCGUAGAUAUUAGGAGGAACACCAGUGGCGAAGGCGGUUUGCUGGGCCAUUACUGACGCUCAUGCACGAAAGCGUGGGGAGCAAAUAGG
This 253-nucleotide ribosomal RNA is filed under the name uncultured Eubacteriales bacterium. RNAcentral describes it as "uncultured Clostridiales bacterium partial 16S ribosomal RNA". It matches the Rfam family "Bacterial small subunit ribosomal RNA", at positions 524 to 776 of the family's 1533-position model. Lineage: Bacteria; Bacillati; Bacillota; Clostridia; Eubacteriales. The record is from RNAcentral.